GCAAAUCUUUCGGUUGAUCUGCAGCCAGCUCGGUUCCGCAGUAAAACACCUUGUCAGGAGCCUGGAGAAGAUACGAGAUGAGGAGGCGUCUCUAUCCGAGGCCUACGACAUGCCCAGUCAGUGGAUGCAGGUCCUCUUUCAUUUGGUCUCAGGGAAAAUUAGGCGCGAUUUACUAAUUUAUUAUCGUAGUAUUAUGUCUGCAAGGAGCUCCUUCGCUCGUGCGAACAAUCACUCAUUGCUGGCAGCUCUAUCCACCUCGCGCUACUAGAUCCUGCGGGGUGAAGAAAUCUUCCGUGUUCAGUCUGUGUAGUGCCCAUUCCCCGGGAGCGUAUCAGUUAUCAGGGGUCGUUAUUCGGGCUGUAAUGAUGUGGUAGCAUGCACUGUGCAGGGUGCUGGAGUACAUCUGCCUUCAGUUAUCUCUGUAUUAGUUUGGAUUCUGUUGCUUAACAUAUAUACCGAGAAAGAAAAUAUGUUCUUGUUCU
This is a long non-coding RNA of Triticum dicoccoides, 482 nucleotides long. RefSeq lists it as uncharacterized. The record is from RefSeq and is a predicted model, not a curated record. The transcript is spliced from 2 exons. NCBI's taxonomy places the organism in Eukaryota, Viridiplantae, Streptophyta, Magnoliopsida, Poales, Poaceae.